Pelobates cultripes (western spadefoot toad) is the source of this 294-nucleotide non-coding RNA. The record is from the annotation of a GenBank genome assembly. Lineage: Eukaryota; Metazoa; Chordata; Amphibia; Anura; Pelobatidae.
GUUAACUGUAGAGAUAGGCAAACAUUAUAUUUAAAAUCGUGGAAAUGACAUUUCCUCUUUAAGCCCAAUUUCCUGUUUUUUUACGUUUACCUUUUGGUUGAUCAGUUAGGUUAGUGUGGUUUAUAUGAUGUCAUUUGAGAUCUCCUCAUAAAAACAGAUUUAUAUGGACGUUACAAAAACACUUAAUUUUAAAAAGUGUCAUUUCAAUAGGGCAUCUUCACAACACAUUGACUGACAGAAACUAUUCACUAACACAUGCACACAGGAUAAAUAGAAGGUAUUUAACCCCUUAAG